CGAAGAGUAAGGCUGCUGCAGGCAAGUUAUGGACUUGAGCUGAAUCGGACUAAGGCGGGCAAGUGUGCAUUCAUAGAACCAAACCACAUCCUUACUUGCAGCGAGAGUGUGUGUUCGAUGUGGGCUCGUGGCAAAUAAAGUUCUUCCACUCUGACACCAUUCCCCGUCUCUGACCGGACGUUAUUACCAGGGGACAGUACCGAAUCACGUUUCAGAGAUAGUGGUCCAGGGCGUCCGCUAUAACAGCUUGUGUGAUGCCAUCAGCCACACAUGGUUACCUGGUUUUGGGUGGUGGCUGUUUCCUGUCUGGGCAAAAGGUGUGGCUGAGGAUUCUGAGAACAAAAUGCCUGCUCAGCAGGACCAACCAUGUGCUUAUCAGGAACAGGGGUGUUUUAGGUUAACUUAUGUUAUUCUGUACUUAGUUAAUAUUAGUGUGAGUUUUUGUUUUCCCCCUAUUGUGUGUAAAUGGUUUGACCAAACCACUGUAAAAGCUACCCUCUUGUGUCUUUGUAAUUAGGUCAUUUUGUGAGUAGUUUUAUGGGCCCGCUAAUUAUGUUUUUGAAUUUUGUCUUUUGAACCUUUUUGAGGGUUAAAAAAAGGAAAACCCUUUUUUGAAGACAUUUUUUUCAUGUGUCCUCUAUGCCUUGGCUGCUUGGUCCCUCACAGAUUGAAAAUUGUGAUUCCUGCAUGAAAUAUGACAAAGUUCCUCAAUCCAAAAUGGCCAACUUCUUCUGCAGUUUGGACAGAACCUGUGUGAUCUAAAUGGUUCAAGAAAGAAGAGACAUGACUACAUAAGGCAAAGGCUUAGGGAAUUUGGGUGCCUGCUGCUUAUACCUCGGAAAAAUAGCCCCAUUCAAAAGGCAGAGGAACUGAUUUAUCCUGUAAACUUCAACUAUUUGAUAUCUGCAGUGAAAGAGUUGGCACAAUCCUGAGAGAAAUACUUUCCAGAGACCUACCUACUUCUACUUGGAUCACCAUAUGAAGACUAUUAAAGGUGAUGCUGAAAGAAUGCUGAGAUUGUCUCCCCCGCCAUGUAGCUAAGAAAGCUUGCCAAAGUGACACUUGCUCAAGUGAUCAUUUUUAACAGAAGAAGAGAAGGAGAAGUAUCAAGAAUGGAAGUGUCCACCUUUAAAGACAGAAAAAAUCCAGAAAUCUAUAUGGACAUGGCUGCUUGCCUAACCUCACUUGAAAAAAAAGUGAUUUCUUCACCAGAGUAGAAACCUGUGGAAAACGAGGGAGAGGAGUUCCUAUUCUCCUAAAACCAUCAACGGUCUCUGCAAUGGAGCUUGUUGUGGAAACUCAUGAAUCUUGUGGUGUCCCUAAAGAGAACAUCUCCAUGUUUGCUAGACCAGGAGCUUUAUCUGCCUAUCGAAGAGGAGACUGUAUCCAAAUGUUUGCAAAGGAGAGUGGGGCCAAACACCCUGAAAUCUGAACAUCAAGAAGGCUUCGAAAGCAUAUACCAACAAUGUUGUGGUUGUUUAAUCUUAAAGAAAAUGAAGCAGACCAACUAGCAGACUUUCUGGGUCAUGACAUACGUGUGCAUAGGCAGUAUACCGCUUGCCUCAGGGAACACUUCAGCUUGCUAAGAUGAGCACAUUGCUUUUGGCACUGGAGAACAGAACUUUUUCACACUACAAAGGCCAAACACUUGAUGAUAUUUGACACUUGAUGAAGAAUUUUUAUUAGGAUGCUCUGAAAUAUAAUAAUAGAUUUUUAUAUUAAUAUUAAAUACUCUGGUGGUGUUUUGUUUUCUCUUAACUUUUAUUAAAAGUUGAUCUGCAAGAUUCAGAUACCUCAAGCGAUGAGAGUGAGCCUUUUCAUUCAACUCUGGAGGCAACAAAAACACAAGAGAACGAGACAACGGAUCAGGAUGGAAACAGGCAGCCGAGGUAACGCCACACGUUUGAACGCCACAAGAUUGUGCGGUACGUGCAGUUGAAAGACACAUAAUGCGUUUCAUCAACACAUGCAAGGUGCCUCAGAAGCUGGACUGCACUCAAUGCAUCAAUGCAGAACCCUAUGCAGUGAAAGACAGAAACUGUACUGGGGUAAGAAAUUAUGUCAGAAAUCACAUUAUUGCCUUAAAAAGAAAAGCUUGUGCAAUAGACUGAGGGCUGCUUGUGUCAAACUACUGUAUAGAGAAAUAUUGCUUAAAAUGAAAAUCUCUAGUGACUUUUGUUUUCUGUGGACUUGGAGGUGUAAAUUCAGUUGUGAGCCUGCUUCUAAACCAUACAGAAACUGGUAUCCCCAAAGGGUGGGAGUUAAAAAAAUGCAACCUCAAAUUGACUCAAGUGAGUCUGUGUGUGUGUUUGUUCCUGUUUCUUUAUAUAUUAUUUCCUAAGGUGGUUUGUUUUAUUUUGCUUGAUUUUGUCAUGAUCCUGGGUCCUUUUGACCCAGCGUUUUGUGUUUUCUAUUAGUGUUAUUUUUGGUUCUGUUCUUCCUCCUGCUUAGUGUUAUUCUGUUCUGCCCAUCUAUUCCUGUGUUAAGUCCGUGUUUCCUAGUCUGUGUUUUUGUGUGUAUGUGUUUCCUGUUUUAUUGUGAAGGUCUGCGUCUUAUGUGAGUGUUUUCAGUUUGCCUCCCUAGUCUUGUCACGUUAAUCACUCCCAGCUGUGUCCCCCACCUGUGUGUAAUCUCCCUGUGUUCUCUGAGUGUUUUUAAGUCGUGUCUUCUGUCUUAGUCAUUGCUGGUUUGUCUGUGUUCAUCCCCUUCAUCAUUCUGUGUCUGUUCCUCCGUGCUCCUGGUAAUUCUCCCUGCAAGGUACCCUCGUUCGUGUUCUGGUUUUGUGUUCGUUUUAGUUUUCCCAGUUUAGUGUAUUAUCUGUUAUUGUCCUCACCCCCCUUUCUGUUGUGUUGUAUUCCACCGUUUGUUAAUAAAGCUCACCCUCCACUUAAGCAGUCUGCAUCUUGGGUCCAUUACUAAUCUUCACACGGCCUACCUCGGCACCCUGUGACAGAUUUAUAGGUUUGUUUUAUUUUGCUUUAGUGGAGGAGUGACCACUUGUUGUGGGGACUAGACACGUGUAGUGGAAAUCCCUCUGAUGCAUGUCAGUGUACACACCGGGAAACAAAUAUAACGCGCUAUUUAAGUUGCAGUUAGAGUGGCAAUGAGGAUUGCAGAGACUGCAAGGGUGAGUAAAUGGUGGCACCCUUGGACACUCCUCCCUGUAGGUUGAGUCCCCAAGAGGCCAGUCUCCACGAUUUUAAGAAUUUUUCUGAGUUGCUAUUUUAACUAGGGCAGCAUUGUGGCAGCAAACCUUGUUCUUUUAAGUAAUGUUUGUUAAUGAAGUGUCUUAAUUAAUGGUUCGGUAUUGCUAGCCCUGCUACUUAAGAUGUUUUCUUUUCUGCAGUUGUAUAUUUGCAGUUGUUUUGUC
This is a long non-coding RNA of Oreochromis aureus, 3370 nucleotides long. RefSeq lists it as uncharacterized. The record is from RefSeq and is a predicted model, not a curated record. The transcript has 4 exons. NCBI's taxonomy places the organism in Eukaryota, Metazoa, Chordata, Actinopteri, Cichliformes, Cichlidae.